This 372-nucleotide ribosomal RNA is filed under the name uncultured organism. RNAcentral describes it as "bacterial SSU rRNA". It matches the Rfam family "Bacterial small subunit ribosomal RNA", at positions 526 to 896 of the family's 1533-position model. The record is from RNAcentral.
CGUAGGUGGCAAGCGUUGUCCGGAAUUAUUGGGCGUAAAGCGCGCGCAGGCGGUCCUUUAAGUCUGAUGUGAAAGCCCACGGCUCAACCGUGGAGGGUCAUUGGAAACUGGGGGACUUGAGUACAGAAGAGAGGAGUGGAAUUCCACGUGUAGCGGUGAAAUGCGUAGAGAUGUGGAGGAACACCAGUGGCGAAGGCGACUCUUUGGUCUGUAACUGACGCUGAGGCGCGAAAGCGUGGGGAGCAAACAGGAUUAGAUACCCUGGUAGUCCACGCCGUAAACGAUGAGUGCUAAGUGUUAGAGGGUUUCCGCCCUUUAGUGCUGCAGCAAACGCAUUAAGCACUCCGCCUGGGGAGUACGGCCGCAAGGCUG